GUGAGGAAUUUUCCGCAAUGGGCGAAAGCCUGACGGAGCAAUGCCGCGUGAAGGAUGAAGGCCUAUGGGUUGUAAACUUCUUUUCUCAGAAAAGAAUUAUGACGGUAUCUGAGGAAUAAGCAUCGGCUAACUCUGUGCCAGCAGCCGCGGUAAGACAGAGGAUGCAAGCGUUAUCCGGAAUGAUUGGGCGUAAAGCGUCUGUAGGUUGUUUAAAAAGUAUUCUGUCAAAGAUUAGGGCUUAACCCUAGAUAGGCAGAAUAAACUUUUAAGCUAGAGUUUGGUAGAGGCAGAGGAAAUUCCCGGUGGAGAGGUGAAAUGCGUAGAUAUCGGGAGGAACACCAAAGGCGAAGGCACUCUGCUGGGCCAAUACUAACACUGAGAGACGAAAGCGAGGGGAGCAAAUGGGAUUAGAUACCCGAGUAGUCC
This 426-nucleotide ribosomal RNA is filed under the name uncultured bacterium. RNAcentral describes it as "partial 16S ribosomal RNA". It matches the Rfam family "Bacterial small subunit ribosomal RNA", at positions 354 to 796 of the family's 1533-position model. The record is from RNAcentral.